This 330-nucleotide unclassified non-coding RNA is filed under the name soil metagenome. Its description in RNAcentral is "partial contains 5.8S ribosomal RNA, internal transcribed spacer 2, and large subunit ribosomal RNA". The stretch from base 1 to 120 matches the Rfam family "5.8S ribosomal RNA", at positions 35 to 154 of the family's 154-position model. The record is from RNAcentral.
GAUGAAGAACGCAGCGAAAUGUGAUAAGUAAUGUGAAUUGCAGAAUUCAGUGAAUCAUCGAAUCUUUGAACGCACAUUGCGCCCCCUGGUAUUCCGGGGGGCAUGCCUGUUCGAGCGUCAUUUCACCACUCAAGCCUCGCUUGGUAUUGGGCAACGCGGUCCGCCGCGUGCCUCAAAUCGACCGGCUGGGUCUUCUGUCCCCUAAGCGUUGUGGAAACUAUUCGCUAAAGGGUGUUCGGGAGGCACGCCGUAAAACAACCCCAUUUCUAAGGUUGACCUCGGAUCAGGUAGGGAUACCCGCUGAACUUAAGCAUAUCAAUAAGCGGAGGA